UACAGAGGCCACGAGCGUUAGGCGGAAUCACUGGGCUUAAAGCGUGUGUAGGUGGAUCGGUAAGUACCUUGUGAAAUCCCACGACUCAAUCGUGGAACUGCUUGGUAUACUGCCAGUCUUGAGGCACUCAGGGGCGAGCGGAACAGAUGGUGGAGCGGUGAAAUGCGUAGAUAUCAUCUGGAACGCCAAUGGUGAAGACAGCUCGCUGGGGGUGUUCUGACACUGAGACACGAAAGCGUGGGGAGCGAACAGG
RNAcentral lists this ribosomal RNA (253 nucleotides) under uncultured bacterium. Its description in RNAcentral is "partial 16S ribosomal RNA". It matches the Rfam family "Bacterial small subunit ribosomal RNA", at positions 524 to 776 of the family's 1533-position model. The record is from RNAcentral.